CAACUUUCUACUGGAACUCAAGCAAAUGUUACAAGCUGUCUCCUUCCUGUUAAAUGUAUUAGACUUUUCUUGAUUUUCCUUCUUUUUUUCCUUUUAAAAAGAUUUUAUUAUAGGUCUUUAUAGCAACAUCCAGACUCCAGAUCCAGCUGCCAAGGAAACCCUGUUACACUGGAGAAAUGCUCUGAUUUGUGGAGUUUACCAAUUUCCGUGGUGUAAAUACUCCACUGUGACCGACUGCGAGCUACCAGUGUGACGUCCCUGAGAGCCGAGGUGGGAGAGGUGGUGCAGGAGCACACAACAUUAUACAGUGUUUCCGCCACACAGAUACAAUGUACACGAAUGCCUCAACAAGAUUCCAAACUCUGAGUCCUGAGACCUUUAGUGCCUCCAACCAACUUGAACAUGUGUGCAAUUCACUGUGUCCAGCCCUACCCAAAAGAACAAGAAGGGCACCGGAGUCUGGAUGUCAACGAGAGAAAGCUUCAAGCCUGUUUCAGUUCUUUCUCCUGCCUUCGGUCUCGCUCCAUCUUCCCUGCCAUUUGGCAUCUCUCUCUUGGUAUUGUGUCUUGCAGGGCACUUCUCUGCCCUAGUAAGAGAUGAACAGGUGUGGCUGCAGAAGGAUAAUGGCAGGGUGCCCAAGGGUGGAGAGGGUGCAAAUUCCCUGCAUUGAUCUUUUGUUAUAGACUCCUACCUUCGUCCUACAUCCACAAAUGAAGGCCUACGGAGAGGAGUGGGGGUGUAGAGGUGUCACAAGGCCACAUUAAAAAAAAUCAUCUAUUUGCUUUGCUUUUAUAUGUAUAUCAGUUUUUUUGGUAUUUUGAUUUGCUCAUAAACCCACGUCUACUAUGCAAAAGGAGAUUAGGUGUUAAAUAAUCAUAAUACUUGUGAUUCAUAUAUGAAAUAGUUGAGCAAUUCAACUAUUUCUAUAAAUUAUAAACAAAUUAAUAGGCCUAAACUUCACAAUGUUCUAUCUAACACUUUACAAAAAGUUUGAAAGGGAACCAGUUUUACCUUAUGCAUGAGUAACGAGUCAAAAUAUCAU
RNAcentral lists this long non-coding RNA (1042 nucleotides) under Equus asinus (donkey). RNAcentral's name for it is "lncRNA (ENSEASG00005026405.1)". The record is from RNAcentral. Lineage: Eukaryota; Metazoa; Chordata; Mammalia; Perissodactyla; Equidae.